AUUGAACGCUGGCGGCAGGCCUAACACAUGCAAGUCGAGCGGAUGAAGGGAGCUUGCUCCUGGAUUCAGCGGCGGACGGGUGAGUAAUGCCUAGGAAUCUGCCUGGUAGUGGGGGAUAACGUCCGGAAACGGGCGCUAGUACCGCAUACGUCCUGAGGGAGAAAGUGGGGGAUCUUCGGACCUCACGCUAUCAGAUGAGCCUAGGUCGGAUUAGCUAGUUGGUGGGGUAAAGGCCUACCAAGGCGACGAUCCGUAACUGGUCUGAGAGGAUGAUCAGUCACACUGGAACUGAGACACGGUCCAGACUCCUACGGGAGGCAGCAGUGGGGAAUAUUGGACAAUGGGCGAAAGCCUGAUCCAGCCAGGCCGCGUGUGUGAAGAAGGUCUUCGGAUUGUAAAGCACUUUAAGUUGGGAGGAAGGGCAGUAAGUUAAUACCUUGCUGUUUUGACGUUACCUAAAGAAUAAGCACCGGCUAACUUCGUG
RNAcentral lists this ribosomal RNA (484 nucleotides) under uncultured bacterium. RNAcentral describes it as "partial 16S ribosomal RNA". It matches the Rfam family "Bacterial small subunit ribosomal RNA", at positions 30 to 507 of the family's 1533-position model. The record is from RNAcentral.